This 119-nucleotide ribosomal RNA is filed under the name Lupinus angustifolius (narrow-leaved blue lupine). Lineage: Eukaryota; Viridiplantae; Streptophyta; Magnoliopsida; Fabales; Fabaceae. The record is from RNAcentral.
AGUUGUGAUCAUACCAGCACCCAUGCACUAGAUCCCAUUAGAACUCUGCAGUUAAGCGAGCUUGGGCAUGAGUAGUACUAGGAUGGGCGACCACCUGAGAAUUCCUCGUGUUGCACCUC